Molecule: long non-coding RNA, 3805 nt
Filed under: Homo sapiens (human)
Lineage: Eukaryota; Metazoa; Chordata; Mammalia; Primates; Hominidae
Description: non-protein coding HAGLR:2
Source: RNAcentral
AGCUGACGAAGGCGCCGUCGCCGUUGCCCAGAGGGAAGGCGGGCUGCAGAGCCACGGGCCGGGCGUCGGAGCGGCAGAACUUGGGUGCCAAGCUGAGCACGUCGCCGCCGACCCCGCCGCUGCUGCUGCAUGACACGUACUCCAGAUCUGGGGACCCUUCACCUGCCUCUACUACUGCAAAUGAUUGGAUAUUCGUCUGACUUGGCUCUUCCCUAAUGUGUGGAACUAAUUUUGUUCACUCUGUUUCAUGCUGGACCUGGCCUGAAAAUGGGCCCUUAUAUUGUCUUUGCACUUUCCAACUUGCCAAGUUUCUGAAAGAAGGACCAAAGUAAUGCCAAGAACUCCCAGAUGAAGAGGACCUUCCUUAGACCUAUAACAGAUUCACUACUUGACUUCAGAGGGAAGUUUCAGCUAAUUCUCAGGAAAAGGUCAAAACAGGCCUGUGACUGUCCCUUGAAUACUGAAGGUAUAAACAAGCUUCUGGCUCCUCCAGGUCAAGCAGAGGAACACUUUUAUUAGAAUGAAGGGUUACUUCUUUGUUAUUCAAACACACACCCACACACAUCCUCUGUAGUCUCCCUAAUGAAAAACCUCAACAGAUGGAGAGCCUGAGCUCCCAAGUCCGCAGGCUGAGAAGAUGCACUUCACUCAAGGGCCAGUGGGCUGGUACAGACUAGGGAAGAGAAAAGGGACAAAGGCUGCUAGUAUAGGUAAUCACUAUCUUUUAAUACUCCUAACACAUAGAAAUUCGAAAAAUCUUGUUCAGCAAUGUUAGCAGCCUGUGAGCCUCGGAAACUAAUUUGGCUGAUGUGUCUCUGAUAGGGAGCUUGGGGCUGCACCAAGGGGAAACAUUCUCCUCCUGUAUUCUCUCCUCUCUCUCGUUUGAAAGCCUGUACAAAGAAAUGGUACAAAUGGAUGGUUAACUUAAUGAUUCCAUCAGAGGCAGAUUUUUCUCUGUCAGGUCCCUGGAUAAGGUGGAGGUCUGAAAGCCAGGAGACAGAAUAUGUACUUAAUCGCCCUUUCUGACCUGCUUACCAGUGACCAGGACUACUCUCCAGGCCUUUCUUCUGCCACUUCCCCAUUCUUCCUGGCUAGUUCAGUUGGGUCUCAGCACUUCAACUCCUGGCUGGAUCCUGAGUUUUUCUUGGUUGCAGGGAAAGCUCUCACUGUCUGCAUCUCCUUCCCCACCCCCACCUCCCGUUUUGCAGCUGGCCAUUCUGGCUGCCUCACAGCUAUCCUGCCUUAAUUCAUAUUUGAUUGCCUGGACAGAACCACCUAGAAUGUCCAGACGACUGCCACCCCUCAGCCAUGGGCCUGAGAUCCUGCCCUGACCCCUUUCUUCAGACCCCAGGAGGACCCACAAUCUCCCUGAUCCCCACCUUCCCCAAAGUAGUCUCUAGGAAAAAAGCAGAGCUGGCUAAGGCCUGAGACAGAGCCAUUUCUUCCCCUUGGGCAAACGAGGUAGACCCUCCCAGAGACCAAUGCCGGAGAGGCCCGGAUCCGAGCUCCCUUUAUAUGGCCUCCCCCAUCACGGAUCCCGUGGGAAAACCUGACACACAAUGGCGCGGCUGCUCCGGGCACCCUCAACCCAGCGCCCUGCGGCAAGGCCUGGAGCAGCCUGGUGGUCUUGGUGCGCUCCCUUUGCCCUCCCCGCAACCCUCUGCGAGCACUCGUCCCAGGAGAGAGACCCUGGCUAGGGUGGAGGUUGCCUCCCGCAAAGGGCGCUGUUGCUGGGGCCUCCCCUCCCCCAUUCUCUUGUUUUUCUGCUUCUGAGACUCGGGAGGGAGGCGGCAGGCGCCUCCGCAGCCGAUAGAGCAGCUAUUGUGACCUUCCCUUGCAGAGCGGGAACCCAGCCGAGUGUGUACCGCCGGCGGUGGCGGGGGAGGAGGCGACUGUGUGUGCAAACCUCAGUCGGAGAGGGGGUGGCGCUGGGAAAUAAAGGUUUGCAACCUCAGGCAGUUGGGCCCUUCAGAGGGCGUUUGGUUGUGUUUAGACUCGGUUGCUUUCUAACACUAAUUGCAGGCUCAAAAGGAGCGGAAUUUAUUGCGAAGGCCAAGGCGGCUUGUUUAUAAUUUAUGAAGUUUUAAAUGGCUGUGCCGCGGGCCCCAACUUUCUCCUGGGCUGGCAGCCGCGCGGAAACGCGCCCUCCCCCGGCUCGCCGCCCACCCCCACCCACGCCCCUCAGAUGAGUCUCACGCCAAUGGCAGGAACAGAUCCGAGCUAUUAGAAGUCUCGGGAACCUCCAGAGAUGACAGAAGGUGGCAGAUUUGGUCCAAGCCCUCACCCCACUCGAGAGGAGGGCGUCGGGGAAAGCUGUGGCUGCCUGGAGAGGGAGCCCCUGAUCCCACACUUCCUUGGAGCCUGAGUGUGAGAGGAAGCUAAUGUCAGCCGGGCUAGACACCGUUUAAAGUCUAAUCCAUGAAACCCUAAGCCGCAAAUGACACUUGGGGCUUUGCAGACACCCGCAGACUCAGCAGAUACUCCUGCGGUAACACACUGUGCUGGAAAACGCCUGGAGCCAUGACACAUUACGUAUUUUUAUUAUUAUUUAUGGUAGGAAGAGGAGAUGAGGGAAAAUCGGGCUGAAUCUAAGCAGCCUGACAAUUCAGCUAGUUAAUAUUUAGCCAGUUAAGAAAGGUGGUUGUAAUCCCUGCAAGGCAGUGAGCUCUCCUUUGAUUUCUCUAAUAGCUUAAAAAAUAAUUUCUUACAAGACAAUUAGAAAUUCUGCCUAUGGAUGCAAAUUUCAUAGAAAACAAUGUUAAGCCUUGAAAGUGGGUAAAAUGUGCCUUCGAUUGAAGUCAUUUAUUCUGUUGAUACACUUCUACAACAUAUAUAUUUUAAACCUGCUCAGAUAAAGUGAAAUUUAGCAAAAGGAUAUCCCCUCCCACCCCCAAAUCUAACAUGCCAUUUUAAAAACAGCACAAAGGAACAAGGAAACUAAAUAUUAUUUUGAGCCAUCAUUACUUAGUGAAAUACAAACAUCCAAAUAGAAACGAUUGUUGUUCCACCAGAAGAUUAGAAGUUAAAUUAUUUCCACACAAUAGGAAUUUCACUUCGUGUCAUCGGGGAUGUAGUAGGAGUUGCAUUAUUUGUCAAACCAAAUAGAGAUGCGUGGGCUGACUUUGCUGAAAUACAAAAGAAUUGAACCUUAUCUGAAGGCGUUUUCUAAGUGGCCCCUCCCAUAGAAGCCGGGAAGUUGUCCACCCCUAGCAGAAGCCACAUUAAUAUUUACAAAAUGGUUAUAAAUCCUUGAAGACAUUUUUGCCCAUUUUGUAUAAGAAACAGGAGUAAACAAGGUGUUUAUACUUGUUAUGUUUCAUUAAUGAAAUAUUAUUACUUUACAUCUUGGGGAAUGUUUGUUUUCUUUAGAAAUGAACUAAUGAUCACUACAAAGGAAGAAUUCAUGACAGCAUUUCCUAGAGAAAAAGCUUAGGUACGCGUCUCCAAAUGAUGGUUUCUUUUUCUACACCUUAGCUUUUUCAUAGCUCAAUUCUUCUUACAACUUCUCUUGUGUUUUUUCUUUGAUUGUCAGUUUUCUUUCAAAGUUUAUUUUUUGUUACUUAAUGCAGAAAAGUGAGCUCUGGUCUCCCCAGUGUAAAAGUCGAUUGUGUCUAGAAAGAAGGCAGUAAAAACAGCAAAGCAGGCGCUGCUUUCAAAAAGCCCUGCCCAAAUCAUCCCGCCCAGAACCUUCUUAGGUUUGCAUCCUCAUUUCCCCCUCCCCUAAUUUCAAUAGCUGGAAAGUAAUCAAGUAUCCCGAGAACCAAUUUAUGCACUAGACUCCAAAUAAAUAAAAUAUUUUUUUCAA